UACGGGAGGCAGCAGUGAGGAAUAUUGCACAAUGGGCGCAAGCCUGAUGCAGCCAUGCCGCGUGUAUGAAAAAGGCCUUCGGGUUGUAAAGUACUUUCAGUCGUGAGGAAGGUGUUAAGGUUAAUAACCUUAGCAAUUGACGUUAGCGACAGAAGAAGCACCGGCUAACUCCGUGCCAGCAGCCGCGGUAAUACGGAGGGUGCGAGCGUUAAUCGGAAUUACUGGGCGUAAAGGGCACGCAGGCGGUUAAUUAAGUUGGAUGUGAAAUCCCCGGGCUUAACCUGGGAAUGGCAUUCAAGACUGGUUAGCUAGAGUCUUGUAGAGGGGGUAGAAUUCCAUGUGUAGCGGUGAAAUGCGUAGAGAUGUGGAGGAAUACCGGUGGCGAAGGCGGCCCCUGGACAAAGGCUGACGCUCAUGUGCGAAAGCGUGGGGAGCAAAC
This 439-nucleotide ribosomal RNA is filed under the name uncultured bacterium. RNAcentral's name for it is "bacterial SSU rRNA". It matches the Rfam family "Bacterial small subunit ribosomal RNA", at positions 340 to 773 of the family's 1533-position model. The record is from RNAcentral.